RNAcentral lists this ribosomal RNA (356 nucleotides) under Gilliamella sp. wkB112. RNAcentral describes it as "bacterial SSU rRNA". It matches the Rfam family "Bacterial small subunit ribosomal RNA", at positions 1 to 355 of the family's 1533-position model. Lineage: Bacteria; Pseudomonadati; Pseudomonadota; Gammaproteobacteria; Orbales; Orbaceae. The record is from RNAcentral.
UUAAAUUGAAGAGUUUGAUCAUGGCUCAGAUUGAACGCUGGCGGCAGGCUUAACACAUGCAAGUCGAACGGUAACAUGAGUGCUUGCACUUGAUGACGAGUGGCGGACGGGUGAGUAAUGUAUGGGGAUCUGCCGAGUGGCGAGGGACAACAGUUGGAAACGACUGCUAAUACCUCAUAAAGUUGAGAAACCAAAGCAUGGGACCUUCGGGCCAUGUGCCAUUUGAUGAACCCAUAUGGGAUUAGCUGGUUGGUGAGGUAAGGGCUCACCAAGGCGACGAUCUCUAGCUGGUCUGAGAGGAUGACCAGCCACACUGGAACUGAGACACGGUCCAGACUCCUACGGGAGGCAGCAGU